RNAcentral lists this ribosomal RNA (257 nucleotides) under uncultured bacterium. Its description in RNAcentral is "partial 16S ribosomal RNA". It matches the Rfam family "Bacterial small subunit ribosomal RNA", at positions 524 to 778 of the family's 1533-position model. The record is from RNAcentral.
UACGUAGGGUGCGAGCGUUAAUCGGAAUUACUGGGCGUAAAGCGUGCGCAGGCGGUUCGUUGUGUCGGCGGUGAAAGCCCCGGGCUAACCUGGGAAUGGCCGUUGAAACUGGCGAACUGGAGUUGUGGCAGAGGGGGGUGGAAUCCGCGGUGUAGCAGUGAAAUGCGUAGAGAUGCGGAGGAACACCGAUGGCGAAGGCAGCCCCCCUGGGCUAACACUGACGCUCAGGCAACGAAAGCGUGGGGAGCAAACAGGGA